Apodemus sylvaticus (European woodmouse) is the source of this 623-nucleotide long non-coding RNA. RefSeq lists it as uncharacterized. The record is from RefSeq and is a predicted model, not a curated record. The transcript is spliced from 2 exons. NCBI's taxonomy places the organism in Eukaryota, Metazoa, Chordata, Mammalia, Rodentia, Muridae.
CCUUCUGCCUUUUCUAGGAUCUUCUGUAUGACACAACUCCCAGGCCCUGAAGACACAUCCCUCACUGACGCUGGUGGCCAAGACACUUUCUGUUGUUAUGGAUGGAGAAAGGUAAAGUUCUCUGCUCCAGGCCUGCUAGGGGAUCCAUCUACUCUGUACCAGGGAGGUCUGCAGGAGUGGCCUGAGGAAGGAUUGCAAGCCCAGAGGAAAUAAGUUAUGUUUUCCUGGUUCCUGGAUAUUCCUGUCGGCACACCUCAGCAUCCGGGUUUCGGGGCACCUCCACUCGUGGAUAAGCAUGGACAAUGCACAUGCAGCACUGGGAUCUGUGCAGCCAUAGGGAAUGCUUUCCUGUCAGUGACGGUGCUCCUGACUGCAUGGUGCUCCCUUUAUAGACGACAUACAAGCAUGUCUGUCUACACAGACUGUACCCCAGGACAGGAAAUGCUGGGAAUGCUGGGAAUGCUGAUCAUUUCGUGGACUUCUAAGCAGGAUGGCGGAAUGGAGCUCAGAACUUGUAACACCAUCAUUUUCAAGUGUUUUCCAACUCUGGUCCAUAGGCUGUCUGUGGCCAAGAGAGCUAUGAAGUUCAACACAAAAUUAUAAACUCUUUAAAACAGUGUGAA